RNAcentral lists this small nuclear RNA (126 nucleotides) under Nomascus leucogenys (northern white-cheeked gibbon). RNAcentral's name for it is "U2 spliceosomal RNA". It matches the Rfam family "U2 spliceosomal RNA". From Rfam's summary of the family: U2 is a small nuclear RNA (snRNA) component of the spliceosome (involved in pre-mRNA splicing). Complementary binding between U2 snRNA (in an area lying towards the 5' end but 3' to hairpin I) and the branchpoint sequence (BPS) of the intron results the bulging out of an unpaired adenosine, on the BPS, which initiates a nucleophilic attack at the intronic 5' splice site, thus starting the first of two transesterification reactions that mediate splicing. The record is from Rfam by way of RNAcentral. Lineage: Eukaryota; Metazoa; Chordata; Mammalia; Primates; Hylobatidae.
AUCGCUUCUCGGCCUUUUGGCUAAGAUCAAGUGUAGAAUAUUAUUAAUCCCAUUCUGUAUAUAAGUAAAUGUUGACAGAAAAUGGUUUAAUGACUUGCUCCAAAUUUCAUAGCACACCAAGAUUAU